GACGAACGCUGGCGGCGUGCUUAACACAUGCAAGUCGAACGGAAAGGCUCUGCUUUUGUGGGGUGCUCGAGUGGCGAACGGGUGAGUAACACGUGAGUAGCCUGCCCUUGACUUUGGGAUAACUUCAGGAAACUGGGGCUAAUACCGGAUAGGAGCUCCUGCUGCAUGGUGGGGGUUGGAAAGUUUCGGCGGUUGGGGAUGGACUCGCGGCUUAUCAGCUUGUUGGUGGGGUAGUGGCUUACCAAGGCUUUGACGGGUAGCCGGCCUGAGAGGGUGACCGGCCACAUUGGGACUGAGAUACGGCCCAGACUCCUACGGGAGGCAGCAGUGGGGAAUAUUGCACAAUGGGCGGAAGCCUGAUGCAGCAACGCCGCGUGCGGGAUGACGGCCUUCGGGUUGUAAACCGCUUUCGCCUGUGACGAAGCGUGAGUGACGGUAAUGGGUAAAGAAGCACCGGCUAACUACGUG
This 468-nucleotide ribosomal RNA is filed under the name uncultured bacterium. RNAcentral's name for it is "partial 16S ribosomal RNA". It matches the Rfam family "Bacterial small subunit ribosomal RNA", at positions 28 to 507 of the family's 1533-position model. The record is from RNAcentral.